AGCUUAGCUCAGCUGGUUCAGAGCACUCCGUCUUUGACGGAGGUGGUCACUGGUUCGAAUCCAGUAGUUCCCA
Molecule: transfer RNA, 73 nt
Filed under: Bacteroidota bacterium
Lineage: Bacteria; Pseudomonadati; Bacteroidota
Description: Bacteroidetes bacterium (activated sludge metagenome) tRNA-Lys
Rfam family: tRNA
About the family: Transfer RNA (tRNA) molecules are approximately 80 nucleotides in length.
Source: RNAcentral